This 496-nucleotide ribosomal RNA is filed under the name uncultured bacterium. Its description in RNAcentral is "partial 16S ribosomal RNA". It matches the Rfam family "Bacterial small subunit ribosomal RNA", at positions 29 to 507 of the family's 1533-position model. The record is from RNAcentral.
AUGAACGCUGGCGGCGUGCCUAAUACCUGCAAGUCGAGCGAACAGACGAGGAGCUUGCUCCUCUGACGUUAGCGGCGGACGGGUGAGUAACACGUGGAUAACCUACCUAUAAGACUGGGAUAACUUCGGGAAACCGGAGCUAAUACCGGAUAAUAUAUUGAACCGCAUGGUUCAAUAGUGAAAGACGGUUUUGCUGUCACUUAUAGAUGGAUCCGCGCCGCAUUAGCUAGUUGGUAAGGUAACGGCCUACCAAGGCAACGAUGCGUAGCCGACCUGAGAGGGUGAUCGGCCACACUGGAACUGAGACACGGUCCAGACUCCUACGGGAGGCAGCAGUAGGGAAUCUUCCGCAAUGGGCGAAAGCCUGACGGAGCAACGCCGCGUGAGUGAUGAAGGUCUUCGGAUCGUAAAACUCUGUUAUUAGGGAAGAACAAAUGUGUAAGUAACUAUGCACGUCUUGACGGUACCUAAUCAGAAAGCCACGGCUAACUACGUG